AAAAUACACCAAGAAUCAACUAUAUAAUCUUAGCAGAUUUGCAUAUAAAAAUGAAAUCAUAUGCACUAAAUUGAAAUUAAUCAUUCUAUUCCUAUGUGAAAGAAGAAUUACAAGGUAAGAAUUCUUCUUGUCCUAAACGGAGAGGACAGGGGAGCCAUAGAAAAUGUAUAAAGCAAAAGACAUGCAAAGAUCGGCGGCUGAUUCUUGAUUCAUCCAUCCUUUCUUGAUAUAACAUCUAUGAACCAAGAAAAAGACUUUAUUCGUUUCUAUGUUCAAUGCUUCUUCA
This 286-nucleotide unclassified non-coding RNA is filed under the name Hevea brasiliensis (rubber tree). Lineage: Eukaryota; Viridiplantae; Streptophyta; Magnoliopsida; Malpighiales; Euphorbiaceae. The record is from RNAcentral.